Molecule: ribosomal RNA, 493 nt
Filed under: uncultured bacterium
Lineage: Bacteria
Description: partial 16S ribosomal RNA
Rfam family: Bacterial small subunit ribosomal RNA
Source: RNAcentral
AUUGAACGCUGGCGGCAUGCUUUACACAUGCAAGUCGAACGGUAACAGGUUAAGCUGACGAGUGGCGAACGGGUGAGUAAUGCAUCGGAACGUGCCCGGUCGUGGGGGAUAACGCAGCGAAAGCUGCGCUAAUACCGCAUACGAUCUGAGGAUGAAAGCGGGGGACCGUAAGGCCUCGCGCGAUCGGAGCGGCCGAUGUCAGAUUAGGUAGUUGGUGGGGUAAAGGCUCACCAAGCCAACGAGCUGUAGCUGGUCUGAGAGGACGACCAGCCACACUGGGACUGAGACACGGCCCAGACUCCUACGGGAGGCAGCAGUGGGGAAUUUUGGACAAUGGGCGAAAGCCUGAUCCAGCAAUGCCGCGUGCAGGAAGAAGGCCUUCGGGUUGUAAACUGCUUUUGUACGGAGCGAAAAGGUCUCCUCUAAUACAGGGGGCUCAUGACGGUACCGUAAGAAUAAGCACCGGCUAACUACGUGCCAGCAGCCACCGUAA